This 653-nucleotide ribosomal RNA is filed under the name Amanita sp. 'rooseveltensis'. Its description in RNAcentral is "eukaryotic LSU rRNA". It matches the Rfam family "Eukaryotic large subunit ribosomal RNA", at positions 98 to 712 of the family's 3401-position model. Lineage: Eukaryota; Fungi; Basidiomycota; Agaricomycetes; Agaricales; Amanitaceae. The record is from RNAcentral.
GCGGGAAAAGCUCAAAUUUAAAAUCUGGCAGUCUCUCUUUUUUUCUUUGGCUGUCCGAGUUGUAAUCUAGAGAAGUGCUUACCCGUGCUGGACCAUGUAUAAGUCUCCUGGAAUGGAGCGUCAUAGAGGGUGAGAAUCCCGUCUUUGACAUGGACUUGCCAGUGCAUAGUGGUGUGCUCUCAAAGAGUCGAGUUGUUUGGGAAUGCAGCUCUAAAUGGGUGGUAAACUCCAUCUAAAGCUAAAUAUUGGCGAGAGACCGAUAGCGAACAAGUACCGUGAGGGAAAGAUGAAAAGGACUUUGGAAAGAGAGUUAAACAGUAUGUGAAAUUGUUGAAAGGGAAACACUUGAAGUCAGUCGUGUCUGCUUAGGGAUCAACUCAGCUCAUUUUGCUGGGUGAACUUCCUAGUGUGACAGGCCAACAUCAGUUCUGACUGUUGGAAAAGAGCAGAGGGAAUGUGGCACCUUUGGGUGUGUUAUAGCCUUUUGUCAUAUAUAGCAGUCGGGACUGAGGAAUUGCAGCGCGCCGCAAGGCAGGGUCUUUGACCACGUUCGCGCUUAGGAUGUUGGCGUUUAAUGGCUUCAAUUGACCCGUCUUGAAACACGGACCAAGGAGUCUAACAUGCCUGCGAGUGUUUGGGUGAAGAAACCCUUG